CCGGAUUUAUUGGGCGUAAAGAGCGUGUAGGCGGUCAGGUAGGUCCGUUGUGAAAACUCGAGGCUCAACCUCGAGACGCCGAUGGAAACCAUCUGACUAGAGUCCGGAAGAGGAGAGUGGAAUUCCUGGUGUAGCGGUGAAAUGCGCAGAUAUCAGGAAGAACACCCGUGGCUAAGGCGGCUCUCUAGUACGGUACUGACGCUGAGACGCGAAAGCGUGGGGAGCGAACAGG
Molecule: ribosomal RNA, 232 nt
Filed under: uncultured bacterium
Lineage: Bacteria
Description: partial 16S ribosomal RNA
Rfam family: Bacterial small subunit ribosomal RNA
Source: RNAcentral